ACUGCCCCAGAGGUGUCAGGUGUGGCUGCCAUGUCGCAUGUGCAUCAGUAGGUAGCAGAGAGGAGAAAGCCCAUGUCUAGGCUCAGUGUUCUGUGAACAUCUAAAUGAGUAGUAGUCUAAUCCU
Rattus norvegicus (Norway rat) is the source of this 124-nucleotide small nucleolar RNA. Ensembl annotates it as small nucleolar RNA SNORA17. NCBI's taxonomy places the organism in Eukaryota, Metazoa, Chordata, Mammalia, Rodentia, Muridae. The record is from Ensembl.